This is a ribosomal RNA of Cercocebus atys (sooty mangabey), 124 nucleotides long. NCBI's taxonomy places the organism in Eukaryota, Metazoa, Chordata, Mammalia, Primates, Cercopithecidae. The record is from Ensembl.
GUCUAUGGCCACAGCACCCUGAAUGCACCUGAUCUUGUCUGAUGUCGGAAGCUAAGCAGGGUCAGGCCUGGUUAGUACUUGAAUGGCAGACAAUGUGUUAAGUCCGCAGCGGUUGGAAUAGUCU